This 324-nucleotide ribosomal RNA is filed under the name uncultured bacterium. RNAcentral's name for it is "bacterial SSU rRNA". It matches the Rfam family "Bacterial small subunit ribosomal RNA", at positions 72 to 422 of the family's 1533-position model. The record is from RNAcentral.
GUAGCAAUACACGAGUGGCGCACGGGUGAGUAACGCGUGGGAACCUGCCCCGGAGUGGGGGAUAACCCGGCGAAAGCCGGGCUAAUACCGCAUACGACCCAAGGGUGAAAGAUUUAUCGCUCUGGGAGGGGCCCGCGUCGGAUUAGCUAGUUGGUGGGGUAAUGGCCUACCAAGGCAAUGAUCCGUAGCUGGUCUGAGAGGAUGAUCAGCCACACUGGGACUGAGACACGGCCCAGACUCCUACGGGAGGCAGCAGUGGGGAAUAUUGGACAAUGGGGGCAACCCUGAUCCAGCAAUGCCGCGUGGGUGAUGAAGGCCUUAGGG